Molecule: long non-coding RNA, 1101 nt
Filed under: Homo sapiens (human)
Lineage: Eukaryota; Metazoa; Chordata; Mammalia; Primates; Hominidae
Description: HSALNT0317008
Source: RNAcentral
ACACUGGCCUCCUCGAGCGCGCCGCCCGCGCCCAGCGCCCCACGCCCCGCGCCCCGGGCCGUGCAGCCAGCCCUUACCUUGCAGCGCCCGGCUGUCUCCCGAUCGCUAAAGCUACUUAUCCCGGGAAAGCUCGCGCGGGACCCGGGAACGAACCCACAGACAAAAAGUGAAACUUCGGCAGGGCUGGAGCGGCUGCUGGUUGGUGCCUUUCCCCCUCCUUCCUCCCCACCGUCCCCACCCCCUCCCCUUGGUCUCCCGUGCGGUGCCCUGAGCGCUGGAGGCUGACGUCAGGGGCCUGAAUUCCUGACUUUGCCUGCACGCAUUUGUCCAUGUAAGGUAUGGGAAGGCGUGUGCCCGCGAAGCCGCCGCGCAGAGCUCGCCUGGCGGGGGAGGGGAAACCCGCAGCCGGCAGUGGCUUUGCCAAAAGGUGGGCGCACUGAGGGCAUUGCAUUUCCUGGGAGGAAGAGGAGGAGACGCGGGAAUGCAGGGAGCUUGCAAAGGAGGAAGAGAAAGAGGGAGAUGUGGAGACUUUGCCCCUGCUAGAGGAAGAGGAAGGAGACGUAGGAGGAAGCGGCCGCGUCAGGGGGCUCCUGGAAAAUGGAAAAGCCUGCGUCUACUAUUAAGGCGUCAAAUUAGGGCACUGAGCUUGAGUGGAAGAGAUCCAGCCAUGAAAUCCCCUUCCAAGAUUUUCCUCGUGAGCCCCGCCCUGGAUUCCCAGCAAGACUCAAAACUUACAAGGUGUCAGAGCUGGCAAAGACCAACUUCCAACCCGUCCGCUUGGCACGUGAGGAAACUGAAGCUCUCGGAAGAGAAAUGACUUGUACAGGGUCGUCACUCAGCAGAUCGAGGAGCGGGCCCAGGCGCUCUGCCUCCCACUUGGGUUCCCGCCUCCAGGAAGGGCCCUGGCUCCCUUUUAGCCCUGAGCCUUGAAGCAGGUUAGAUGCCCGCGAGCUGUGCGGACCACCCAGUGAUUUCUACUGCUCUUGGCCCAGAGCCAGUUCCUGGAAGGUCCUGGUUGACAGCGAGCCCUGAAUAUCAAUGACAAUCAGUUGCUUCAGGGCAACUUCCUCUGUCCUGUGCUCAAAUAAAUGAAUCCCUGGA